Molecule: ribosomal RNA, 424 nt
Filed under: uncultured bacterium
Lineage: Bacteria
Description: bacterial SSU rRNA
Rfam family: Bacterial small subunit ribosomal RNA
Source: RNAcentral
UGAGGAAUAUUGGUCAAUGGGCGCAAGCCUGAACCAGCCAUCCCGCGUGCAGGAAGAAGGCGCUAUGCGUCGUAAACUGCUUUUCCAGGGGGCGAACAUCCCGCACGAGUGCGGGACUGACGGUACCUUGGGAAUAAGCAUCGGCUAACUCCGUGCCAGCAGCCGCGGUAAUACGGAGGAUGCGAGCGUUAUCCGGAUUUAUUGGGUUUAAAGGGUGCGUAGGCGGAUUAAUAAGUCAGUGGUGAAAUUCUGCAGCUUAACUGUGGUACUGCCGUUGAUACUGUUAGUCUUGAGUAUGGUCAAGGUAGGCGGAAUGUGUAAUGUAGCGGUGAAAUGCUUAGAUAUUACACAGAACACCGAUUGCGAAGGCAGCUUACUGGGCCGUUACUGACGCUGAUGCACGAAAGCGUGGGGAUCGAACAGG